This 498-nucleotide ribosomal RNA is filed under the name uncultured bacterium. RNAcentral's name for it is "partial 16S ribosomal RNA". It matches the Rfam family "Bacterial small subunit ribosomal RNA", at positions 28 to 507 of the family's 1533-position model. The record is from RNAcentral.
GACGAACGCUGGCGGCGUGCCUAAUACAUGCCAGUCGAACGAAAGCGCCCUGUUCUUGCGCGGUGCUAGCGAGGGGCGAACGGGUGUGAAACACGUGUGUAACCUGCCCGUCAGAGGGGGAUAACAUGCGGAAACGGAUGCUUAAACCGCAUGAGUCUUCGCACCGCAGGGGGGGAUGGGGAAUAUAGGCGCAAGGUUCUGCUGAUGGGUGUACUCGCGGUGCAGUAGGUGGUUGGGGAGGUAACGGCUCACCAAGGCCGUGAUGCAGAGACGAACUGAGGGAGUGGUAGGCCACAUUGGGGCUGAGACACCGCCCAAACGCCUAAGGGACGCCGCAGUCGGGAAUCUGAGGCAAUAGUGGCGAGUCUGACGGAGCGACGCCGAGUGAGUGAAGAAGGUUUUCGGAUCGUAAAGAUCUGUUGUUAGAGAAGAAUAGGUGCUAGCGUAAAUGAUGGCUGCUUGACGGUAACUAAUAAGAAAGCAACGGCUAACUACGUG